RNAcentral lists this ribosomal RNA (503 nucleotides) under Clostridioides difficile. RNAcentral describes it as "bacterial SSU rRNA". It matches the Rfam family "Bacterial small subunit ribosomal RNA", at positions 1 to 529 of the family's 1533-position model. The record is from RNAcentral. Lineage: Bacteria; Bacillati; Bacillota; Clostridia; Peptostreptococcales; Peptostreptococcaceae.
UUUUAUUUGAGAGUUUGAUCCUGGCUCAGGAUGAACGCUGGCGGCGUGCCUAACACAUGCAAGUUGAGCGAUUUACUUCGGUAAAGAGCGGCGGACGGGUGAGUAACGCGUGGGUAACCUACCCUGUACACACGGAUAACAUACCGAAAGGUAUGCUAAUACGGGAUAAUAUAUUUGAGAGGCAUCUCUUAAAUAUCAAAGGUGAGCCAGUACAGGAUGGACCCGCGUCUGAUUAGCUAGUUGGUAAGGUAACGGAUUACCAAGGCGACGAUCAGUAGCCGACCUGGGAGGGUGGUGGGCCACAUUGGAACGGAGACACGGUCCAAACUCCUACGGGAGGCAGCAGUGGGGAAUAUUGCACAAUGGGCGAAAGCCGGAUGCAGCAACGCCGCGUGAGUGAUGAAGGCCUUCGGGUCGUAAAACUCUGUCCUCAAGGAAGAUAAUGACGGUACUUGAGGAGGAAGCCCCGGCUAACUACGUGCCAGCAGUCGCGGUAAUACGUA